CUAAGUAGAUUUUGGCUUUCAAUUCUCUAAUUUUCUUUCGUGUCUGGAGAAAAGAAAAGUUUGUUACUUCUGUUAAAUUUAACACUUAAUAUAAAUAUUUUAUUAUGCUAAAUACAAUACUGUAAUGUUUUAUAAUACAAACAUAUACAAGACAGUGGUUAUGAUUUUCUGUUUGUUUAUUAAGAAAAUUAUGGUAUUGUCGUAUGGCAAACUGAGUAUGAUAUAUACAAUGUUUUAUUUACUAUACUGAUGUUAAUUGUAUUUUAAAAUUAUAAAACCUUUAAAUUAAUAUCUAUUUGUAUACUUAUAUAUCUUUGUAUAGAUGAUGAAGCACAUACAUAUGAAGGUAUAUCAAUACAUUCUUAACUGCAAAUUGUAAUGUAAAUAAUACGCCAAAGGAGAAUAAAAUUAGAAUUUGGAUUGAGUCCUUACUUUUGAAAAAAAAAUGUUCUUAGUAACUGUUGUUGUUUAUUCCCCUGUGUUUUUACAGUUUUGUGACACUUUCAUCUUUAGAUAUUUGCAACUUAUCCCUUGUCUUCUUUAACCAUUCCUGAUGUUGCCUUCCCUAAAUUAAGCUUCAAAUUCAGAAGAAAAACCUGUUAUGAUGUUUUUUAUACCUAAAGUAUAGUUCAGUUUCUUAAAAUGACCAUUAAAUAACACAAAGAGCUGCUCCAUCACCCUAUAAAAGAAGGGAAAAUAGAAAUAAGUUAGGUUUGUUUAAAACUCUUCAAAUUUUAAUUCAAAAUUUGUAUGAGCAGUCUUUUGUUCACCAAACACCUGACAGACACUAAAAAAAACACCGGACACUAAAAAAAGAGUUUAUCUUCUUAGGCAAAUUAUAGUUACGUACAUAUGUUAAUACCAAUAUAUUUCGGCUUGUCUGAAGAUAAUGACUUAUCUCAACUGAUUAUUCACAGUUACAGAUGAAACUCCUUGUUUUAC
RNAcentral lists this long non-coding RNA (942 nucleotides) under Homo sapiens (human). RNAcentral describes it as "HSALNT0030873". Lineage: Eukaryota; Metazoa; Chordata; Mammalia; Primates; Hominidae. The record is from RNAcentral.